AGAGUUUGAUCCUGGCUCAGAAUGAACGCUGGCGGCGUGCUUAACACAUGCAAGUCGCACGAGAACGCUUCAGCUUGCUGGAGCUAGUAAAGUGGCGCACGGGUGAGUAACGCGUGGGUAAUCUACCUCCGAAUUGGGGAUAACACUGCGAAAGCGGUGCUAAUACCGAAUGACAUCUCAGGGACCUCGGUCUCUAAGAUCAAAGGUGGCCUCUACAUGUAAGCUACUGUUUGGAGAUGAGCCCGCGUACCAUUAGCUAGUUGGUAGGGUAAUGGCCUACCAAGGCUUCGAUGGUUAGCUGGUCUGAGAGGAUGAUCAGCCACACUGGAACUGACACACGGUCCAGACUCCUACGGGAGGCAGCAGUGAGGAAUUUUGCGCAAUGGGGGAAACCCUGACGCAGCAACGCCACGUGAGUGAUGAAGGCUUUCGGGUCGUAAAGCUCUGUCAAGUGGGAAGAAUAUGCCCUGUGAUAAUACCAUGGGGCACUGACGGUACCACUGAAGGAAGCACCGGCUAACUCCGUGCCAGCAGCCGCGGUAAUACGGGGGGUGCAAGCGUUAUUCGGAAUCAUUGGGCGUAAAGGGCGCGUAGGCGGCCCCUUAAGUCAGAUGUGAAAGCCCUCAGCUUAACUGAGGAAGUGCAUUUGAAACUAAGGGGCUUGAGUAUGGGAGAGGGAAGCGGAAUUCCUGGUGUAGCGGUGAAAUGCGUAGAUAUCAGGAGGAACACCGGUGGCGAAGGCGGCUUCCUGGACCAAUACUGACGCUGAGGCGCGAAGGCGUGGGGAGCAAACAGGAUUAGAUACCCUGGUAGUCCACGCAGUAAACUGUGAACACUAGGUGUAGCGGGUAUUGACCCCUGCUGUGCCGAAGCUAACGCAUUAAGUGUUCCGCCUGGGAAGUACGGUCGCAAGGCUAAAACUCAAAGGAAUUGACGG
This 937-nucleotide ribosomal RNA is filed under the name uncultured bacterium. RNAcentral's name for it is "bacterial SSU rRNA". It matches the Rfam family "Bacterial small subunit ribosomal RNA", at positions 8 to 916 of the family's 1533-position model. The record is from RNAcentral.